CGCUGAGUUUAAGCAUAUCAAUAAA
RNAcentral lists this ribosomal RNA (25 nucleotides) under Boehmeria clidemioides var. diffusa. Its description in RNAcentral is "partial 28S ribosomal RNA". The record is from RNAcentral. Lineage: Eukaryota; Viridiplantae; Streptophyta; Magnoliopsida; Rosales; Urticaceae.